UAAUACUAAGUGGUGACAAUUGACAAGGGCCUUCAUGAAACUGGGGAUAUUCGUGAUUUAGGUUCUGGUAAGUUCUAUCAUGAAUCAGGUAUCGUCUUUAAUGCCCAGGAGCUGGCUUAACCAAACUGCACAUUGUGCAGAUCUUCUCGUCGAAAUAGAUCUCUGGUGGUUAUGUUGGAGGCGUCUCAACUCAAGAUUUUGGAGGCCAAUGGCUGGUGCUGAUAUAACUCAGCCUUGUGUGCAGACUGCUCGUCUUUGAUGACAAAUAGAGGCAACAUAUACACAAAUCACACUGUUCAGUUUUAUUUCCUCAUCACUUAUAGAAUGUAUACAAACUACUUUAGUGAUCCAGGCAUCAAGAAUUGUAAAUUUCCUAAGCUUUAUAGCGUCUUAAGAAUUUACAUACCAUGAUUAGUUAUGCACAACGUGAGACUUUGUCGUCAGUUACUGCUUGUCAAGUCGAAGAGGUGUAAUUGAUCAGAGGCGAGUUUCACAGAGAAGCUUGACAUUAUAAAUUUAAUCAUAUAGACCUAAUAGACAGAAGCAAGUGAAAAUGUUCAGUGUUAAGCACGUGGCUAUUUCCAAGUUCAAAACUUACCAACGUUAGUAGGUUCUUAUACAUAUAAUAAACAUCACUUUAUUUGUUACCAUUCUCAUCUGAAACUAGAGGAUUACAAUUCUGAAAAUUUUAUAAACUCAAGUCUGAAAAGACAAGUGAGAAGUGAAGGUUACAACUUACAAGGCUGGUAUUCAAUCGUUCUUCUCCAUAAGAAUUAGUAGGUUUUUCACAAAUCGAGUGCAUUUCUAAUUUUCAGAUAAAUGCAGAACACUUCUUUUUUCUACAACAGAAAUGAUCCUUUCAUAAGGAUAAAAUAAAGUGGGCCAAAAGAUGCAUUGAAAUAUUUCAGAAGCAUUGAUUCUCUAAAUCCAAGACAUAAGGUGAAUGUCUCUUUUGUAACAAGGGGUUUUAUUCUUU
RNAcentral lists this long non-coding RNA (976 nucleotides) under Nicotiana tabacum (common tobacco). RNAcentral describes it as "long non-coding RNA (NTAB_LNC014140)". Lineage: Eukaryota; Viridiplantae; Streptophyta; Magnoliopsida; Solanales; Solanaceae. The record is from RNAcentral.